CACGUAGUUAGCCGGUGCUUCUUUACCCAUUACCGUCACUCACGCUUCGUCACAGGCGAAAGCGGUUUACAACCCGAAGGCCGUCAUCCCGCACGCGGCGUUGCUGCGUCAGGCUUCCGCCCAUUGUGCAAUAUUCCCCACUGCUGCCUCCCGUAGGAGUCUGGGCCGUAUCUCAGUCCCAAUGUGGCCGGUCACCCUCUCAGGCCGGCUACCCGUCAAAGCCUUGGUAAGCCACUACCCCACCAACAAGCUGAUAAGCCGCGAGUCCAUCCCCAACCGCCGAAACUUUCCAACCCCCACCAUGCAGCAGGAGCUCCUAUCCGGUAUUAGCCCCAGUUUCCUGAAGUUAUCCCAAAGUCAAGGGCAGGUUACUCACGUGUUACUCACCCGUUCGCCACUCGAGCACCCCACAAAGCAGGGCCUUUCGUUCGACUUGCAUGUGUUAAGCACGCCGCCAGCGUUCGUCCUGAGCCAGGAUCAAACUCU
RNAcentral lists this ribosomal RNA (486 nucleotides) under uncultured Propionibacterium sp. Its description in RNAcentral is "partial 16S ribosomal RNA". The record is from RNAcentral. Lineage: Bacteria; Bacillati; Actinomycetota; Actinomycetes; Propionibacteriales; Propionibacteriaceae.